RNAcentral lists this ribosomal RNA (253 nucleotides) under uncultured bacterium. RNAcentral describes it as "partial 16S ribosomal RNA". It matches the Rfam family "Bacterial small subunit ribosomal RNA", at positions 524 to 776 of the family's 1533-position model. The record is from RNAcentral.
UACGUAGGGCGCAAGCGUUAUCCGGAAUUACUGGGCGUAAAGCGCGCGUAGGCGGCGACCUUUGUCAGAGGUGAAAUCCCGAGGCUCAACUUCGGAAUUGCCUUUGAAACGGGGUUGCUUGAGUCCGAGAGAGGAUGGCGGAAUUCCUAGUGUAGAGGUGAAAUUCGUAGAUAUUAGGAAGAACACCGGUGGCGAAGGCGGCCAUCUGGCUCGGUACUGACGCUCAGGCGCGAAAGCGUGGGGAUCAAACAGG